AGUGAACGCUGGCGGUAGGCCUAACACAUGCAAGUCGAACGGCAGCACAGUAAGAGCUUGCUCUUACGGGUGGCGAGUGGCGGACGGGUGAGGAAUACAUCGGAAUCUACUUUUUCGUGGGGGAUAACGUAGGGAAACUUACGCUAAUACCGCAUACGACCUACGGGUGAAAGCAUGGGAUCUUCGGACCUUGCGCGAUUGAAUGAGCCGAUGUCGGAUUAGCUAGUUGGCGGGGUAAAGGCCCACCAAGGCGACGAUCCGUAGCUGGUCUGAGAGGAUGAUCAGCCACACUGGAACUGAGACACGGUCCAGACUCCUACGGGAGGCAGCAGUGGGGAAUAUUGGACAAAGGGCGCAAGCCUGAUCCAGCCAUACCGCGUGGGUGAAGAAGGCCUUCGGGUUGUAAAGCCCUUUUGUUGGGAAAGAAAAGCAGCAGGUUAAUACCCCGCUGUUCUGACGGUACCCAAUGAAUAAGCACCGGCUAACUUCGUG
RNAcentral lists this ribosomal RNA (492 nucleotides) under uncultured bacterium. Its description in RNAcentral is "partial 16S ribosomal RNA". It matches the Rfam family "Bacterial small subunit ribosomal RNA", at positions 29 to 507 of the family's 1533-position model. The record is from RNAcentral.